GAGAGAGAGAGAGAGAGAAUAUAAAUAGAAAUUGGUUGGAUAUGGUAUACGCAAAGAAGUAUGUAUAGAGGACUAUAUAUAUAAGUGCUGUAGGACAAAAAAGGCCAAAGAAAUAGAUGAGGAAAGCAUUUGUUUUCAUGGAGACUAGAAUGGGUUGUGUUGAAGUGGGGUUAGUUUUACUAUGCAUCUGAGAAGAGCCACCUACCUACAUGGAUGGAGAGAAGGGAAUUGUUUUCGGAAAUUUAAAUGGGCCCCUUAUGUAGGGUAUCAG
This 271-nucleotide unclassified non-coding RNA is filed under the name Hevea brasiliensis (rubber tree). The record is from RNAcentral. Lineage: Eukaryota; Viridiplantae; Streptophyta; Magnoliopsida; Malpighiales; Euphorbiaceae.